AGUAAAUAGAUACCCAGGUAGUCCACGCCGUAAACGAUGAGUACUAGGUGUAGGAGGUAUCGACUCCUUCUGUGCCGCAGUUAAACACAAUAAGUACUCCGCCUGGGAAGUACGGUCGCAAGAUUAAAACUCAAAGGAAUUGACGGGGGCCCGCACAAGCAGCGGAGCAUGUGGUUUAAUUCGAAGCAACGCGAAGAACCUUACCUAGACUUGACAUCCCCUGAAUAACGUAGAGAUACGCGAAGCCCUCCGGGGCAGGGAGACAGGUGGUGCAUGGUUGUCGUCAGCUCGUGUCGUGAGAUGUUGGGUUAAGUCCCGCAACGAGCGCAACCCUUAUCAUUAGUUGCUACCAUUUAGUUGAGCACUCUAGUGAGACUGCCCGGGUUAACCGGGAGGAAGGCGGGGAUGACGUCAAAUCAUCAUGCCCCUUAUGUCUAGGGCUACACACGUGCUACAAUGGUGAGAACAACGAGAUGCAAUACCGCGAGGUGAGCAAAACUUCAAAACUCAUCUCAGUUCGGAUUGUAGGCUGAAACUC
Molecule: ribosomal RNA, 538 nt
Filed under: uncultured bacterium
Lineage: Bacteria
Description: bacterial SSU rRNA
Rfam family: Bacterial small subunit ribosomal RNA
Source: RNAcentral